Schizosaccharomyces pombe (fission yeast) is the source of this 690-nucleotide non-coding RNA. NCBI's taxonomy places the organism in Eukaryota, Fungi, Ascomycota, Schizosaccharomycetes, Schizosaccharomycetales, Schizosaccharomycetaceae. The record is from the annotation of a GenBank genome assembly.
GAUUUUACAGAAACAUAUAACGGACAUACCAUGCAUUAUAGAUACCAGCAGGCUCUGUCUGGUAAACCCGUGGAGUGUUAUCACCAACGUCGAAUCCAGCAAUAAGGGUAGAAACACCAAAAGGUCGUACACCACCAGAUUGAGUGUAUUUUUGCUGAACACCAGCGACAUAGCGAGUUAAAUACUCAAUAGAAACAGGAUCUGCCAAAUUCAAUUUAUGGUUUUGUGCUUCAACACGAGCUUUAUCAAUUAAAAUUCUAGCGUCGGCAUUUAACCCUGCAAAUGCUAGACAAACAUGGUUAUCAACCAUAGCAAUUUUUUGGAAAUUAGAAACGUUUUGAAGUUUAGGAACAUUCUUUCGUUCAACACCUAUUACAAUACACUCAUUUCCUCGAAGAGCAAUCUGUUAAUGAUAUAUGUAAGCAAUUUAUUCCAUCCAAUUCUACUCUGGUUUACAACGUACUGCAGUGGUACCACGGCGGACUGCUUCUUGUCCGUAUUCUACUUGAAGCAAGCGUCCAUCUGGUGAAAAAACGGAUAAUGCACGAUCAUAUCCCGACAUGGUGAAUUCUUGGUAAUCUGUAGGUUUCGCUUUGCUGAUUUCGAACUAGUAAGCAAUUAGCGUCGUGGUUAAUGCUGUUUAGUGCGUUGCGGUGAAGUUCGUAUGUGGUUUAUGAUGAAUAGUGGGUA